This is a long non-coding RNA of Myxocyprinus asiaticus (Chinese sucker), 430 nucleotides long. RefSeq lists it as uncharacterized. The transcript is spliced from 3 exons. NCBI's taxonomy places the organism in Eukaryota, Metazoa, Chordata, Actinopteri, Cypriniformes, Catostomidae. The record is from RefSeq and is a predicted model, not a curated record.
CACGGUCAGAGAGUGUGAAACAUCUCAACGGAAUCUCAUGAAACCGGUCAAGAACAUAUCCAGACACUUGUGGGACAGUAAGCAGAGCUGGAGACAAGACUAGACCCCCUAACGAUGUUGGAUAAAAAUAUAGCCGAAGCUGGUUUGCUUGUCUUAGCUGGUCUCAACCUGGGCAAGCUACUGUGGCAAGGAGGAGGGCGGGGCCGGGCCGUGAUGACGCACGCCCGGCCCCUAACCAGGCUAAUCAAGCUGACGAGGGGAUAAAGGCCGCCGGAGGCGGAGGUUCGGGAGAGAGAGAGCUUCAGGCAGCUGCCCUGUGCCACUCAGCUCUGUUGCCAGGACAACUGAUUGUUUCUCCACCCAGCUUGUCACCAGCGGCACCUGCCUCCAAUAUGUAUACCAGCUCCUAUAUAUAUACAUACUCUCCUUU